RNAcentral lists this ribosomal RNA (116 nucleotides) under Paraclostridium sordellii. The record is from RNAcentral. Lineage: Bacteria; Bacillati; Bacillota; Clostridia; Peptostreptococcales; Peptostreptococcaceae.
UAGUUAUUAUAGCGAAGAGGAUACACCUGUUCCCAUGCCGAACACAGAAGUUAAGCUCUUUAGCGCCGAUGGUACUUGGUGGGAAGCUGCCUGGGAGAGUAGGACAUAGCUAGGUU